Molecule: small nucleolar RNA, 139 nt
Organism: Phragmites australis (common reed)
Lineage: Eukaryota; Viridiplantae; Streptophyta; Magnoliopsida; Poales; Poaceae
Product: small nucleolar RNA Z247
Exons: 1
Source: RefSeq, a predicted model, not a curated record
CCCCUUGAAGAUGAAGAGAUGAUCGCCUACCUUCUUCGUGGUCUCGACAGUGAAUACGACUCCUUGGUGACAAGUAUCACCACACGUGUUGACUCCUACACUGUCAGCGACGUGUAUGCUCACAUGCUGGGCCACAAGA